RNAcentral lists this ribosomal RNA (434 nucleotides) under uncultured bacterium. RNAcentral describes it as "bacterial SSU rRNA". It matches the Rfam family "Bacterial small subunit ribosomal RNA", at positions 29 to 507 of the family's 1533-position model. The record is from RNAcentral.
AACGAACGCUGGCGGCAUGCCUAACACAUGCAAGUCGAACGAAGCCUUCGGGCUUAGUGGCGCACGGGUGCGUAACGCGUGGGAACCUACCAUCAGGUUCGGAAUAACAGUUAGAAAUGACUGCUAAUACCGGAUAAUGUCUUCGGACCAAAGAUUUAUCGCCUUUUGAUGGGCCCGCGUAAGAUUAGGUAGUUGGUGGGGUAAAGGCCUACCAAGCCGACGAUCUUUAGCUGGUCUGAGAGGAUGAUCAGCCACACUGGGACUGAGACACGGCCCAGACUCCUACGGGAGGCAGCAGUGGGGAAUAUUGGACAAUGGGCGAAAGCCUGAUCCAGCAAUGCCGCGUGAGUGAUGAAGGCCUUAGGGUUGUAAAGCUCUUUUACUGGGGAUGAUAAUGACAGUACCCAGAGAAUAAGACUCCGGCUAACUCCGUG